RNAcentral lists this long non-coding RNA (139 nucleotides) under Ictidomys tridecemlineatus (thirteen-lined ground squirrel). RNAcentral describes it as "lncRNA (ENSSTOG00000030550.1)". The record is from RNAcentral. Lineage: Eukaryota; Metazoa; Chordata; Mammalia; Rodentia; Sciuridae.
CUGACAGCAGUACCCCUGCCAGUCAAAAGAAGGAAGUAGUUGAAACCACACUGGUGCAGGAAAUCAGAAUAAAGAAUUAUUCUCCUUUCUUUCCAUCACCUGACUCAAAGCCCAAACAGGCCAAUACUGGUUGUAGAGU